AUCAGAGAUGCUGGUAGCCGCUGGCUCUUUCUGAUGUGUCAGCAGGGAAUGACUCCAGACUCCAGUGGCCCAGCAGGAACCGUCUCUUUUUCCAGUGGUUUCAGUGACAGAAAAGGCAGCCUCUGUUCAGUGGUUCCCAAAUCAACGUUAGCAGCACAGUGGCAGUUUUAGAAUUGUCCUGAAAAAGGCAAACAGAUCCAUGGGUGGAAGAACCACAAAAUACUUCAUUCUACCAAGUUUAAUACACUAAUGGGAAAAAAAAAAAAAAAACAAGCUGUGGCUGUCACUGGUUUUCUUUCAUUGAGAAAAAAGCUGGUACAUCAACACUAAAGCAUUUCAGAUAAUGCCAUAUAUUCAAUCACACUGGAUAAAU
This 373-nucleotide long non-coding RNA is filed under the name Ovis aries (sheep). RNAcentral's name for it is "lncRNA (ENSOARG00000027013.1)". Lineage: Eukaryota; Metazoa; Chordata; Mammalia; Artiodactyla; Bovidae. The record is from RNAcentral.